UACGUAGGGCGCAAGCGUUGUCCGGAAUUAUUGGGCGUAAAGAGCUCGUAGGCGGUUUGUCGCGUCUGCUGUGAAAACUCGAGGCUCAACCUCGGGCUUGCAGUGGGUACGGGCAGACUAGAGUGCGGUAGGGGUGACUGGAAUUCCUGGUGUAGCGGUGAAAUGCGCAGAUAUCAGGAGGAACACCGGUGGCGAAGGCGCCACUCUGGGCCGAAACUGACGCUGAGGAGCGAAAGCGUGGGUAGCAAACAGG
This 253-nucleotide ribosomal RNA is filed under the name uncultured bacterium. Its description in RNAcentral is "partial 16S ribosomal RNA". It matches the Rfam family "Bacterial small subunit ribosomal RNA", at positions 524 to 776 of the family's 1533-position model. The record is from RNAcentral.